GACGAACGCUGGCGGCGUGCUUAACACAUGCAAGUCGAACGGAAAGGCCCUGCUUUUGUGGGGUGCUCGAGUGGCGAACGGGUGAGUAACACGUGAGUAACCUGCCCUUGACUUUGGGAUAACUUCAGGAAACUGGGGCUAAUACCGUAUAGGAGCUCCUGCUGCAUGGUGGGGGUUGGAAAGUUUCGGCGGUUGGGGAUGGACUCGCGGCUUAUCAGCUUGUUGGUGGGGUAGUGGCUUACCAAGGCUUUGACGGGUAGCCGGCCUGAGAGGGUGACCGGCCACAUUGGGACUGAGAUACGGACCAGACUCCUACGGGAGGCAGCAGUGGGGAAUAUUGCACAAUGGGAGGAAGCCUGAUGCAGCAACGCCGCGUGCGGGAUGACGGCCUUCGGGUUGUAAACCGCUUUCGCCUGUGACGAAGCGUGAGUGACGGUAAUGGGUAAAGAAGCACCGGCUAACUACGUG
RNAcentral lists this ribosomal RNA (468 nucleotides) under uncultured bacterium. RNAcentral's name for it is "partial 16S ribosomal RNA". It matches the Rfam family "Bacterial small subunit ribosomal RNA", at positions 28 to 507 of the family's 1533-position model. The record is from RNAcentral.